GGUGUAGGUGGUUGAGAAAGUCAGAUGUGAAAGCCCUGGGCCUAACCCAGGAAGUGCGUCUGAUACUACUCAACUGGAGUGCGAAAGAGGGAAGUGGAAUUUCUAGUGUAGGGGUGAAAUCCGUAGAUAUUAGAAGGAAUACCAAUGGCGAAGGCAGCUUCCUGGUUCGUAACUGACACUCAGACCCGAAAGCGUGGGUAGCAAACA
Molecule: ribosomal RNA, 207 nt
Filed under: uncultured bacterium
Lineage: Bacteria
Description: partial 16S ribosomal RNA
Rfam family: Bacterial small subunit ribosomal RNA
Source: RNAcentral